GGAUGUGAGGGUGACUUGGCUGCAACAUCUAUCACCCAUUGAUUGCCAGGGUUGAUUCAACAGAUCUGGCUCACUAGGCAAAUUUUGCCUUCCUCCCUCACAGUUCCAUGUACAGCCCACCAGAGCUAGAUCAAGGACAACUAUCCCAGAUAGAGGAGGAUCCAUCUUUGGUGAAGGGUAUACCAGUACCUGGGCUUCCCUGCUAGAACUCCCAAGUAAGCUCUCAAGCAUUCCAUGUUGGUAAAUCAAAUGUAUAAUAAAAUAGUGAUCAUUGAGGCUCUGCAGAAAGGAAGGCAAACUAAUACUU
Dipodomys ordii (Ord's kangaroo rat) is the source of this 307-nucleotide unclassified non-coding RNA. Its record names the gene 7SK. It matches the Rfam family "7SK RNA". From Rfam's summary of the family: 7SK was discovered as an abundant small nuclear RNA in the mid-70s but a possible function has only recently been suggested. Two independent studies have found that 7SK RNA binds the CDK9/cyclin T complex (known as elongation factor P-TEFb). Lineage: Eukaryota; Metazoa; Chordata; Mammalia; Rodentia; Heteromyidae. The record is from Ensembl.